CAGCAGCCGCGGGAAUACGGAGGGAGCUAGCGUUGUUCGGAAUUACUGGGCGUAAAGCGCACGUAGGCGGUUAUUCAAGUCAGAGGUGAAAGCCCGGGGCUCAACCCCGGAACUGCCUUUGAAACUAGAUGACUGGAAUCUUGGAGAGGUCAGUGGAAUUCCGAGUGUAGAGGUGAAAUUCGUAGAUAUUCGGAAGAACACCAGUGGCGAAGGCGACUGACUGGACAAGUAUUGACGCUGAGGUGCGAAAGCGUGGGGAGCAAACAGGAUUAGAUACCCCAGUAGUCCCUGUCUCUUAUAC
This 301-nucleotide ribosomal RNA is filed under the name uncultured bacterium. Its description in RNAcentral is "partial 16S ribosomal RNA". It matches the Rfam family "Bacterial small subunit ribosomal RNA", at positions 509 to 807 of the family's 1533-position model. The record is from RNAcentral.